AGAACAUGUGCAGCAAGUCCGCGGUUACAUAAUUACCGUGUUGAUAGAUAUUGCGUGAAUUGUAUACUGAUCCUCCUUUGGAAUUCGUCUACGGGAUAGUUUCCGCGUGUCGGGAAGUUCUGCUGCUUUGAUCGAGUGGCGGACGAAGACUCGCCGUACGUUGCCUGCUCCAAACAGCCGCAUCGGACGCGCGCCUUCGUGUUUGCUCUGAAAAGUGAUUUCUUCCUCCAUUUAUCGAUUACUCGUGUUGUUCGCGUGAUUCAAUGUCGAGUGUGCUUCCGAAGACAAUGCUCGAACCCUGGUGUGACAAGCAGUGACUGAUGUUAUGCGAGAGCGUGAGCUUUUUGACGGGCGACUGAAGAGUGCACAGCCUAUGCCAAAACUUCGGAAGCGAUGACCCGGGCGGCUUGUUGGCACAGCGGGGAUGACGAACCAGAGACCCGAUAGGCAGCGAUGACAGCUGUUCAUGGUCCCGACACAGAGGACAGGUUGCAGUGCGCGAUUGGAGCGGUCUUCCAGCAAGCCCUAACGAACCUUAUUA
This 541-nucleotide long non-coding RNA is filed under the name Rhipicephalus microplus (southern cattle tick). RNAcentral describes it as "uncharacterized LOC119178255". Lineage: Eukaryota; Metazoa; Arthropoda; Arachnida; Ixodida; Ixodidae. The record is from RNAcentral.